RNAcentral lists this ribosomal RNA (246 nucleotides) under uncultured bacterium. RNAcentral describes it as "partial 16S ribosomal RNA". It matches the Rfam family "Bacterial small subunit ribosomal RNA", at positions 112 to 353 of the family's 1533-position model. The record is from RNAcentral.
AACACGUGGGUAACCUGCCUUAUAGUGGGGGAGUAGCCUUUCGAAAGGAAGAUUAAUACCGCAUAAGAUUGUAGUAUCGCAUGAUAUAGCAAUUAAAGGAGCAAUUCGCUAUAAGAUGGACCCGCGUCGCAUUAGCUAGUUGGUGAGGUAAUGGCUCACCAAGGCGACGAUGCGUAGCCGACCUGAGAGGGUGACCGGCCACAUUGGGACUGAGACACGGCCCAGACUCCUACGGGAGGCAGCAUG